GAUGAACGCUAGCGGCAGGCUUAACACAUGCAAGUCGAGGGGUAUAGUAGCAAUACUAGAGACCGGCGCACGGGUGCGUAACGCGUAUGCAAUCUACCUUUUGCAGAGGGAUAGCCCAGAGAAAUUUGGAUUAAUACCUCAUAGUAUAGCGACAUCGCAUGAUGAUGCUAUUAAAGUCACAACGGCAAAAGAUGAGCAUGCGUCCCAUUAGCUAGUUGGUAAGGUAACGGCUUACCAAGGCAACGAUGGGUAGGGGUCCUGAGAGGGAGAUCCCCCACACUGGUACUGAGACACGGACCAGACUCCUACGGGAGGCAGCAGUGAGGAAUAUUGGACAAUGGGCGCAAGCCUGAUCCAGCCAUGCCGCGUGCAGGAUGACGGUCCUAUGGAUUGUAAACUGCUUUUAUACAGGAAGAAACACUGGUUCGUGAACCAGCUUGACGGUACUGUAAGAAUAAGGAUCGGCUAACUCCGUG
RNAcentral lists this ribosomal RNA (476 nucleotides) under uncultured bacterium. RNAcentral describes it as "bacterial SSU rRNA". It matches the Rfam family "Bacterial small subunit ribosomal RNA", at positions 28 to 507 of the family's 1533-position model. The record is from RNAcentral.